GACGAACGCUGGCGGCGUGCUUAACACAUGCAAGUCGAACGGAAAGGCCCUGCUUUUGUGGGGUGCUCGAGUGGCGAACGGGUGAGUAACACGUGAGUAACCUGCCCUUGACUUUGGGAUAACUUCAGGAAACUGGGGCUAAUACCGGAUAGGAGCUCCUGCUGCAUGGUGGGGGUUGGAAAGUUUCGGCGGUUGGGGAUGGACUCGCGGCUUAUCAGCUUGUUGGUGGGGUAGUGGCUUACCAAGGCUUUGACGGGUAGCCGGCCUGAGAGGGUGACCGGCCACAUUGGGACUGAGAUACGGCCCAGACUCCUACGGGAGGCAGCAGUGGAGAAUAUUGCACAAUGGGCGGAAGCCUGAUGCAGCAGCGCCGCGUGCGGGAUGACGGCCUUCGGGUUGUAAACCGCUUUCGCCUGUGACGAAGAGUGAGUGACGGUAAUGGGUAAAGAAGCACCGGCUAACUACGUG
This 468-nucleotide ribosomal RNA is filed under the name uncultured bacterium. RNAcentral describes it as "partial 16S ribosomal RNA". It matches the Rfam family "Bacterial small subunit ribosomal RNA", at positions 28 to 507 of the family's 1533-position model. The record is from RNAcentral.